This 253-nucleotide ribosomal RNA is filed under the name uncultured bacterium. RNAcentral describes it as "partial 16S ribosomal RNA". It matches the Rfam family "Bacterial small subunit ribosomal RNA", at positions 524 to 776 of the family's 1533-position model. The record is from RNAcentral.
UACAGAGGGUGCGAGCGUUAAUCGGAAUUACUGGGCGUAAAGCGCGCGUAGGCGGCUUUGCAAGUCGGGUGUGAAAUCCCCAGGCUUAACCUGGGAACUGCAUUCGAGACUGCAUUGCUAGAGUAUGGGAGAGGGAAGUGGAAUUUCCGGUGUAGCGGUGAAAUGCGUAGAUAUCAAGAGGAACACCUGAGGUGAAGACGGGUUGCUGGGCUGACACUGACGCUGAGGCGCGAAAGCUAGGGUAGCAAACGGG